Alosa sapidissima (American shad) is the source of this 142-nucleotide long non-coding RNA. RefSeq lists it as uncharacterized. The transcript is spliced from 3 exons. NCBI's taxonomy places the organism in Eukaryota, Metazoa, Chordata, Actinopteri, Clupeiformes, Clupeidae. The record is from RefSeq and is a predicted model, not a curated record.
AUUUAUUGAAAUGGAAAAGAAAGAGGAAUUGAGAUUGAUCUCUUUUUCCAUCAGUAUUUUUAAACCAUCAAGACCUCUUGCUCAGGGCAUCAGCCGAUAUCAUAUUUUAGAAACAAGAAUAAGGAAGAGGAAGAGGGGUGUA